RNAcentral lists this ribosomal RNA (496 nucleotides) under uncultured bacterium. RNAcentral describes it as "partial 16S ribosomal RNA". It matches the Rfam family "Bacterial small subunit ribosomal RNA", at positions 29 to 507 of the family's 1533-position model. The record is from RNAcentral.
AUGAACGCUGGCGGCGUGCCUAAUACAUGCCAGUCGAGCGAACGGACGAGAAGCUUGCUUCUCUGAUGUUAGCGGCGGACGGGUGAGUAACACGUGGAUAACCUACCUAUAAGACUGGGAUAACUUCGGGAAACCGGAGCUAAUACCGGAUAAUAUUUUGAACCGCUUGGUUCAAAAGUGAAAGACGGUCUUGCUGUCACUUAUAGAUGGAUCCGCGCUGCAUUAGCUAGUUGGUAAGGUAACGGCUUACCAAGGCAACGAUGCAUAGCCGACCUGAGAGGGUGAGCGGCCACACUGGAACUGAGACACGGUCCAGACUCCUACGGGAGGCAGCAGUAGGGAAUCGUCCGCAAUGGGCGAAAGCCUGACGGAGCAACGCCGCGUGAGUGAUGAAGGUCUUCGGAUCGUAAAACUCUGUUAUUAGGGAAGAACAUAUGUGUAAGUAACUGUGCACAUCUUGACGGUACCUAAUCAGAAAGCCACGGCUAACUACGUG